Molecule: unclassified non-coding RNA, 1023 nt
Filed under: Hevea brasiliensis (rubber tree)
Lineage: Eukaryota; Viridiplantae; Streptophyta; Magnoliopsida; Malpighiales; Euphorbiaceae
Source: RNAcentral
UUUGAUUAGAAAGGCUUUUUGUUAAGUGUGUAAUUACUUAUGAAAGCAGUUUUUUUUUUCUUCAGCUUUUGAUGAUGGAAUUAUAAGUACUUGAUUAGAAAGGCUUUUUGCCUACUUCAUAUCUCUCUCCUUACUCUUUCUUUUUCCUUCCCUGUAUGCCACUGCUUCAUUCUUCUGCUGCUGCAGCACUUUAGGUACUGUUCUCAGGUUCAAAACAACCAGCAGUUUUUCCUGUCUUCAAUAUAUCUAAUUCAAACUCUUAACCAUGUUUCCCUUCACACUUAAAUUAGAACCCCAAAACUUAUAAAUUGUUUGAGAUUUGUCAAACAUAAAGCUUCCUUAACCUGUCCUACAUCACUGACUCUCCUUAAAGCCUGUAAUGCAGGAAGCCUCACACGAUAAGACUCUCUUUUUAAAGUUCAAAAUUUUGACUAUUUGAGAGUUUUCUCUCUUGGAUUUGAAAAGUGGACAUAAUUCUUUCACGGAUGUUUCGUUUAUAUCAACAAAAUUUGGUUAUUCUUGACACACUUUGGUGAAUCAUUUCAUUUCCUGAAAUUUCAAUAUCAAUAUCACAUUAAUAAAAUUUCAUAUUUUUAACAUACUUUGAUUUUCAUUUGAAAUAAAGAUCAACACUUGCUUCUGUGCCCUUAUUUGGUUAUCUCAAGUAGUUCUCAUAAUUGAUGUGUAAAACUUUGCGGUAAAAAGGGUUUCACCAUAUGAACUGGAUGCCAUCUUUGUUCUGUAACUAGGCCUAGCCUCUGUUAAGUCUAUUUAUUUCGAUCUAGGUAAAUUCUGUUCUUAUUAUAUAUAUUGUGUCAACUCAUUGCGAAACUUGUAUUAAGGUUCGUUUUGUUGUUGGUGGAGAUGGACCUAAAUGUGUGCGGCUGGAGGAGAUGAGGGAGAAGCAUUCUCUUCAAGAUCGAGUCGAAAUGCUGGCGCUGUGCCCCAUGCUUGUGUACGUUUUGUCCUGAUUUCUGGCCAUAUAUUCUUGAACAGGUUCUACCAGAUGACAUGAUUGUACUU